Molecule: non-coding RNA, 23 nt
Filed under: Arabidopsis thaliana (thale cress)
Lineage: Eukaryota; Viridiplantae; Streptophyta; Magnoliopsida; Brassicales; Brassicaceae
Source: RNAcentral
CCGUGUCAAUCCCGACUACACUC